Long non-coding RNA from Gasterosteus aculeatus aculeatus (three-spined stickleback), 1354 nucleotides. Lineage: Eukaryota; Metazoa; Chordata; Actinopteri; Perciformes; Gasterosteidae. The record is from Ensembl.
UUUAAAAACAACUUAGAAAGCAUAGGAUAUGGAAAUUAUUCUACUAUUGAGUACUUGUAUCAGGCAACAGGUGUUGCGAAAACAUUAAACCAAUAGCAACUGAGCAUUGUUUCUGGAUGUUGGAUUCAGUAGAAAAUUAUAGUUUAAGGUAAGAGUUUUCUCAGAAAAUGCCAGCUUGUCUAUAGAGGACACCGCAUUGCACUAUUAAAGGCAUUCACAUCACCCAGUAUGAUGAUGCAAACGCUCUAUGUGAUAGGAGAUGCACACUGAACUUCUGAAAAAAGUCAUCAGAUUUGGGGGUAUAGCUCAGUGGUAGAGCAUUUGACUGCAGAUCAAGAGGUCCCCAGUUCAAAUCUGGGUGCCCCCUCUUUAAAUACCUUCUUAGACCGCAUAGGAUAUGGAAAUUAUUCUACUAUUGAGUAUUUGUGUCAAGCAACAGGUGUUGCAAAAACUGUAAACCAAUAGCAACUGAGCAUUGUUUCUGGAUGUUGGAUUCAGUAGAAAAUUAUAGUUUAGGUUAAGAAUCUUCUCAGAAAAUGCCAGCUUGUCUAUAGAGGACACAGCAUUGCACUAUUAAAGGCAUUCACAUCACCCAGUAUCAUGAUGCAAACGCUCUAUGUGAUAGGAGAUGCACGCUGAACAUGUGAAACAAGUCAUCAGAUUUGGGGGUAUAGCUCAGUGGUAGAGCAUUUGACUGCAGAUCAAGAGGUCCCCAGUUCAAAUCUGGGUGCCCCCUCUUUAAAUAACUUCUUAGACCACAUAGGAUAUGGAAAUUAUUCUACUAUUGAGUAUUUGUGUCAAGCAACAGGUGUUGCAAAAACGCUUGUCUAUAGAGGACACAACAUUGCACUAUUAAAGGAAUUCACAUCACCCAGUAUGAUGAUGCAAAUGCUCUAUGUGAUAGGAGAUGCACACUGAACUUCUGAAAAAAGUCAUCAGAUUUGGGGGUAUAGCUCAGUGGUAGAGCAUUUGACUGCAGAUCAAGAGGUCCCCAGUUCAAAUCUGGGUGCCCCUUUUUAAAAACAACUUAGAAAGCAUAGGAUAUGGAAAUUAUUCUACUAUUGAGUAUUUGUAUCAGGCAACAGGUGUUGCAAAGGCUGUAAACCAAUAGCAACUGAGCAUCGCGUCUGGUUCUUGGAAUCAGUAGAAAAUUAUAGUUUAGUUUAAGAAUCUUCUCAGAAAAUGCCAGCUUGUCUAUAGAGGACACAGCAUUUCACUAUUAAAGGCAUUCACAUCACUCAGUAUGAUGAUGCAAACGCUCUAUGUUAUAGGAGAUGCACUCUGAACAUCUGAAAAAAGUUAUCAGAUUUGGGGGUAUAGCUCAGUGGUAGAGCAUUUGACUGCAGAUCAAGAG